UGGGGAAUUUUGGACAAUGGGCGCAAGCCUGAUCCAGCCAUGCCGCGUGAGUGAAGAAGGCCUUCGGGUUGUAAAGCUCUUUCGGCGGGGACGAAACGGUUCGUGACAACACCACGGACUAAUGACGGUACCCGCAUAAGAAGCACCGGCUAACUACGUGCCAGCAGCCGCGGUAAUACGUAGGGUGCAGGCGUUAAUCGGAAUUACUGGGCGUAAAGGGCUCGUAGGCGGCCAACUAAGUCAGACGUGAAAUCCCUCGGCUUAACCGGGGAACUGCGUCUGAUACUGGAUGGCUUGAGGUUGGGAGAGGGAUGCGGAAUUCCAGGUGUAGCGGUGAAAUGCGUAGAUAUCUGGAGGAACACCGGUGGCGAAGGCGACAUCCUGGACCAAUUCUGACGCUGAGGAGCGAAAGCCAGGGGAGCAAACGGGAUUAGAUACCCACGUAGUCCCUGAGCGGGCUGGCAAGGCGCAU
This 472-nucleotide ribosomal RNA is filed under the name uncultured bacterium. RNAcentral describes it as "bacterial SSU rRNA". It matches the Rfam family "Bacterial small subunit ribosomal RNA", at positions 355 to 825 of the family's 1533-position model. The record is from RNAcentral.